Bison bison bison is the source of this 75-nucleotide microRNA precursor. NCBI's taxonomy places the organism in Eukaryota, Metazoa, Chordata, Mammalia, Artiodactyla, Bovidae. The record is from Ensembl.
AGGCUCUUGCGUUUUGUUUGGGUUUGUUUUCAACAGGCUUGUAAAGGUUGUUGAUGUGCCAAACCUGAACAGCCU